AGCUUUACACAGUGGCAGUAUCGUAGCCACCGAGGUUUAUCCGAGGUGCGAUUAUUGCUAGCUGAAAACUUUCCCAAUGUUUUUGAGUAGAGUUGACAUACAAUGUUAUAUUAGUUUCAGGUAUAAACAUAGUGAUUCGACACCUCGGUACGUUU
The sequence is a small nuclear RNA, 155 nucleotides long. Its record names the gene U4. It matches the Rfam family "U4 spliceosomal RNA". From Rfam's summary of the family: U4 small nuclear RNA (U4 snRNA) is a component of the major U2-dependent spliceosome. The structure of U4 snRNA from yeast and human has been reported. U4 snRNA presents a k-turn RNA motif in the 5p-SL related to recognition of Snu13 protein. The record is from Ensembl.